This 2485-nucleotide long non-coding RNA is filed under the name Marmota monax (woodchuck). The record is from RNAcentral. Lineage: Eukaryota; Metazoa; Chordata; Mammalia; Rodentia; Sciuridae.
CACAAACAGUUGGUGCCACGUAGGAGCAUUUGACAAAGAAACCAAAACACCAAAAAGGGCGAGCCUUUACCCUCCUCUGUUUCUUUAAUCCGCUGUUCGAAGAACCGUGUUUUUGAUGGUACAAACUAGUAGUUACCUCUGGGCCAGGUUGGAAAUGAUAUCAAUUUUUUAAACCACUAAUACUUGCCAAGAAAUCGCCUUAUGAGAAUAUGGUGUGUGUCUCUGACAAUGCAUGGCACAUCUAAAUUGUUCAUUCAUAAUUUUCUUUCCCUGCUUAGGUAUUGGAAGUGGCAACAGCCUGAGGCGCCUGCAUAUCAACUCCUUGUGUUCCCUGCACCCCAGGGCUGGGAUUGAUCCAGCCUCAGGCUGUUACCAUUCCCAUACUCCCAGGUCUCCAUGAAGAAGCUGGGACGCCUUCACACUUCAAGAUCCCAAAGCUGUGCAAACAGUGUAAGCUUAGAUCUUCUAGACAGGAAGGGUCAUUUCUCAUUUUUUUUUAAAUGUCUGCAACAUGGAUUCCAAAGCAUUUUCAGCAUCAAACACGAAAACAUUGAUGAAUGAGGAAUAAUCCCCAAAGCUGUGUAUCUGUAUAUAGCCUGACACAACACGUAUGUGGAUACAGAGUCAUUAUUUAAAGCACAUGCCAGGGAAAGAGACCCAAUUUCAAGGUCUUUUACAUAUAGUGACAUGGUACUAAGGAGAAUUCAACUCCUAUUGCUUCCUCUGAAGAUGAAAAAAAAAAUUAAAGUUGUAGUAACUUCGUAAAACUCACGACUGAGUCUGGCAAAACACCUGCAACUCUUGUAUUGAUCCAUUUUCUUGUCGAUGGAAGAAACCCUUCCACGUGGAUGCAAGUGGGAGAUGAAAACCUGCAUUUUUAAAGGACAAACAGUGAAUUUAAGCAUGAGUGGCCUUAAUAAAUAUAGUUGUCUUUUUUUGCUGCUGUGGAAAGGAUUCUAAACAGAUGUUCCUGAAGUCCUGCAUUGAAUUUAGUCAUUAUUACUUUUUAAAAUGUUGGUGCAAUUAACUCUGGACCUCUCUCGUGAGCCAUAGAGAUAUUAAAAGACAAACUUCUUAUUUGUUGGGGAAGAUAAAACCGUCUCUAAGCUGCACCCUUCCCUCUCGGUGCAUUAGGAGUCAUAUAUUCAAGCUGGUUUCUUGCUUCUGGCUUUGUUCUUGUCGUCAGGAUAGCAAACUAUGUAAAAGCUUUCGUGUUGCAUAAACAAUCCAAAUACAUUCAUGUUUAAAAAGUUUGUCCUUUAACUAUUCAAGGGAUCUAGGUCUCAGUUGGAGGAGUGAGCAGAGUUCUUUGCAAGCUUCUUUAGUACAUUUUGACACAAUGUCACACUGAAACCACAGGCCACAGACACAUCCCCAUGAACAGUUUGUCCUCACUGCCUCCUGUAACCAGGUCCUGGCCUGAACUCUGCAACUGAAUACUUGAAGUAGGAAGUACGAAAUCCAGUAGGGAAAGUAGGGUCCUUAAAAUAGGAAAAAAAAAUUUUUUUAAAUACAAAUAAAUACACCUGACCAUAAUAGUUAGCUAUUUCUAUGUCCGUGCCAAUUUUGUCACAGAUAUUGUUUGGGGGAUCAUUUUGACCCUACUUUUGUUGGUUGAAAGUAUGAUUGACCUUACCUAUAUGCAAGCAUCUAAUUUAGUCUCUUAAAAUUAAAUUCUAUCUACAGUAUCUUUUUCUCAUUUCAUGUCAUAUUCUCUAAUGUUUGGGGGUUGCACACACACACAAAAAUACCUUUCACACAUUGAAAAUAGCCUCUGGGUUUACAACAAACACUGUGAAGUUGGGAAGCUAUUUCCUUUGCACAAACUUUAGCAAGUUCCCUUCUAAUCAUAAUGCAGUUGGAAAAAAAAAAGUUUGGGCUAACAUUUAGGAAAAGUUGGUCUAAGUCUUUCUGUGGGCAGACGCAGGCUUGUGAUUUCUACCCCAUUUGAUUUCUAUGUACAGUCUCAAUUUUGUAUUUAAUGAUUUUUGUGUAUCCAGUGUGCACGUUUAACAGCGUGUCAACUUCCAUUUGAGAGUGGGUUUUACUUUUUAAACAGUGUUUCUGAUGAGACCUCAAACGUGUUGACAUCAGCUCUCUCUGCGACGUUUUUUUUUUUUGUUUGUUUUGUUUUUUUUGUGUGUGUAGAGUGGCGUUUGAAUGCUGCCAGGGGUCAGUGUAUCUACUUCCCUGAGACCCUCGUUUGAUAGUGCUUCUUGUAAUAUUUCUUCAAGUGAGUGGCAUGUGGGUUGUGAUAUUGACCAUGUGAUUAUGGACAUCGAUAUGAAAAAAAAUAAAAAUAAGGAACCCUGGAAACUACCAGUGGGCAUGUAUUAGCCAGUCAUUGUAACCUUGUGUCUAGUAGAAGUACAAUGUACAAGGUAUGUACAGUUCCAUAAAUUUGUUAUCAUGUGUAUGAGAAGUACUUUGUGCUGAUCGCCUUAUUUAUAUUCAUCAAAUAAACCUUGUUUUCUUUCUGAAAUGA